This 476-nucleotide ribosomal RNA is filed under the name uncultured bacterium. Its description in RNAcentral is "bacterial SSU rRNA". It matches the Rfam family "Bacterial small subunit ribosomal RNA", at positions 29 to 524 of the family's 1533-position model. The record is from RNAcentral.
AUUGAACGCUGGCGGCAUGCUUUACACAUGCAAGUCGAGCGGCAGCGCGGGGGCAACCCUGGCGGCGAGCGGCGAACGGGUGAGUAAUGCAUCGGAACGUACCCUGGAGUGGGGGAUAACGCCGCGAAAGCGGCGCUAAUACCGCAUAUGCUCUGAGGAGGAAAGUGGGGGACCGCAAGGCCUCACGCUCUGGGAGCGGCCGAUGUCCGAUUAGCUAGUUGGUGAGGUAAAGGCUUACCAAGGCGACGAUCGGUAGCUGGUCUGAGAGGAUGAUCAGCCACACUGGGACUGAGACACGGCCCAGACUCCUACGGGAGGCAGCAGUGGGGAAUUUUGGACAAUGGGGGCAACCCUGAUCCAGCCAUGCCGCGUGAGUGAUGAAGGCCCUAGGGUUGUAAAGCUCUUUUGUGCGGGAAGAUAAUGACGGUACCGCAAGAAUAAGCCCCGGCUAACUUCGUGCCAGCAGCCGCGGUAAU